GGCUGGGCUCCGCGCAACGCCAACCUGCCAAUCCCGCCAGGACCGGAAGGUAGCAACGGUACGUAGGCCCUGGCAUGUGCCGCGGGAACCCUGGCCCUC
RNAcentral lists this signal recognition particle RNA (99 nucleotides) under Vulcanimicrobiota bacterium. Its description in RNAcentral is "signal recognition particle sRNA small type". It matches the Rfam family "Bacterial small signal recognition particle RNA". Rfam says of the family: The signal recognition particle (SRP) is a universally conserved ribonucleoprotein involved in the co-translational targeting of proteins to membranes. Archaeal SRP consists of a 7S RNA and homologues of the eukaryotic SRP19 and SRP54 proteins. Lineage: Bacteria; Bacillati; Vulcanimicrobiota. The record is from RNAcentral.